This 443-nucleotide ribosomal RNA is filed under the name Escherichia coli. RNAcentral describes it as "bacterial SSU rRNA". It matches the Rfam family "Bacterial small subunit ribosomal RNA", at positions 1 to 440 of the family's 1533-position model. Lineage: Bacteria; Pseudomonadati; Pseudomonadota; Gammaproteobacteria; Enterobacterales; Enterobacteriaceae. The record is from RNAcentral.
AAAUUGAAGAGUUUGAUCAUGGCUCAGAUUGAACGCUGGCGGCAGGCCUAACACAUGCAAGUCGAACGGUAACAGGAAGCAGCUUGCUGCUUCGCUGACGAGUGGCGGACGGGUGAGUAAUGUCUGGGAAACUGCCUGAUGGAGGGGGAUAACUACUGGAAACGGUAGCUAAUACCGCAUAACGUCGAAAGACCAAAGAGGGGGACCUUCGGGCCUCUUGCCAUCGGAUGUGCCCAGAUGGGAUUAGCUUGUUGGUGGGGUAAUGGCUCACCAAGGCGACGAUCCCUAGCUGGUCUGAGAGGAUGACCAGCCACACUGGAACUGAGACACGGUCCAGACUCCUACGGGAGGCAGCAGUGGGGAAUAUUGCACAAUGGGCGCAAGCCUGAUGCAGCCAUGCCGCGUGUAUGAAGAAGGCCUUCGGGUUGUAAAGUACUUUCAGC